RNAcentral lists this ribosomal RNA (508 nucleotides) under uncultured bacterium. RNAcentral describes it as "bacterial SSU rRNA". It matches the Rfam family "Bacterial small subunit ribosomal RNA", at positions 8 to 502 of the family's 1533-position model. The record is from RNAcentral.
AGAGUUUGAUCCUGGCUCAGAUUGAACGCUGGCGGCAGGCUUAACACAUGCAAGUCGAGCGGAAACGAGAGGUAGCUUGAUACUUCGGCGUCCGAGCGGCGGACGGGUGAGUAAUGCUUGGGAAUAUGCCUUUGAGUGGGGGACAACAGUUGGAAACGACUGCUAAUACCGCAUAAUGUCUACGGACCAAAGGGGGGGGACGCUUCGGCACCUCUCGCUCAUAGAUUAGCCCAAGUGAGAUUAGCUAGUUGGUAAGGUAAAGGCUUACCAAGGCGACGAUCUCUAGCUGGUUUGAGAGGAUGAUCAGCCACACUGGGACUGAGACACGGCCCAGACUCCUACGGGAGGCAGCAGUGGGGAAUAUUGCACAAUGGGCGAAAGCCUGAUGCAGCCAUGCCGCGUGUGUGAAGAAGGCCUUCGGGUUGUAAAGCACUUUCAGUUGUGAGGAAAGGUAAGUAGUUAAUAACUGCUUGCUGUGACGUUAGCAACAGAAGAAGCACCGCUAACU